AUGAACGCUGGCGGCGUGCCUAAUACAUGCAAGUCGAGCGAACAGAUGAGGAGCUUGCUCCUCUGACGUUAGCGGCGGACGGGUGGGUAACACGUGGAUAACCUACCUAUAAGACUGGGAUAACUUCGGGAAACCGGAGCUAAUACCGGAUAAUAUAUUGAACCGCAUGGUUCAAUAGUGAAAGACGGUUUUGCUGUCACUUAUAGAUGGAUCCGCGCCGCAUUAGCUAGUUGGUAAGGUAACGGCUUACCAAGGCAACGAUGCGUAGCCGACCUGAGAGGGUGAUCGGCCACACUGGAACUGAGACACGGUCCAGACUCCUACGGGAGGCAGCAGUAGGGAAUCUUCCGCAAUGGGCGAAAGCCUGACGGAGCAACGCCGCGUGAGUGAUGAAGGUCUUCGGAUCGUAAAACUCUGUUAUUAGGGAAGAACAAAUGUGUAAGUAACUAUGCACGUCUUGACGGUACCUAAUCAGAAAGCCACGGCUAACUACGUG
This 496-nucleotide ribosomal RNA is filed under the name uncultured bacterium. Its description in RNAcentral is "partial 16S ribosomal RNA". It matches the Rfam family "Bacterial small subunit ribosomal RNA", at positions 29 to 507 of the family's 1533-position model. The record is from RNAcentral.